GACGGAGGGUGCUAGCGUUGUUCGGAAUCACUGGGCGUAAAGGGCGCGUAGGCGGCUUCAGGUGUCGGAUGUGAAAGCCCGGGGCUCAACCCCGGAGGUGCAUCCGAAACUCUGGGGCUGGAGGCCGGAAGAGGAGGGUGGAAUACCCAGUGUAGAGGUGAAAUUCGUAGAUAUUGGGUGGAACACCGGUGGCGAAAGCGGCUCUCUGGUCCGGUCCUGACGCUGAGGCGCGAAAGCGUGGGGAGCAAACAGG
This 253-nucleotide ribosomal RNA is filed under the name uncultured bacterium. RNAcentral's name for it is "partial 16S ribosomal RNA". It matches the Rfam family "Bacterial small subunit ribosomal RNA", at positions 524 to 776 of the family's 1533-position model. The record is from RNAcentral.